Molecule: long non-coding RNA, 1553 nt
Filed under: Zea mays
Lineage: Eukaryota; Viridiplantae; Streptophyta; Magnoliopsida; Poales; Poaceae
Description: long non-coding RNA (ZMAY_LNC002981)
Source: RNAcentral
CGUGAUACCCUGAUUUCCCCUGCGCACUGCUUCUCCCCACGGCGCACGCGCACCAUCUCCUGCGCGCCGCCAGUCCGGCUUCUCCUGGCUCCUGCGCGCCGCCAGCCGUCAGCCCGUCACCGAUUGGAGAUCCUUGGAAACCUGCGCGCCGCCAGCCCGUCACCGCUUGGAGACCCGCUCAGCCGCGCUUCCCUGCGCGCCGCCAGCCGUCGCCGAUCCGUGGCCGCGUCCGCCGCCGCCAGCUCUGAGGUCGCGCCGUCAGCCAGCCCGUCUGCCGUCGUGAGGUACUGAGGUUUGUGAUCUGCCGACAUCUCCCAUCUGCCCUGCCUGACGCUGUACUUGUCCGGUUGUCCCAUUCUCUGUUCUUGUUAGAUCCCAAUAUCCCAUGGCAACGUGUGCAUCUACCGAUGCUAGCAGCAUUAAAUGUUCUUGGUACUAGUAAAUCCAUGAUUAACUUAUUAAGAUUACUAUGGCAUUGAUCCAUUUCAGACAUUUCAACAUUUAAUUUUAUUUAUAAUAUAUAUUGCGUAUCGCCGUAUCCGUAUUUUUUGAGAAAUGGCGUAUCGGGGUAUCGGCGUAUCGCGUAUCCGUAUCUGUAUCCCCGUAUCAGGGCAACAUAGGUUCCCACUCUAACUCAGCGGUCCGUGAAGCUUCCCAAUUCUAUCCAGACACAUCAAAAAAUUAUAACAGAUUCUAGGUUCAUGUCCUUUUUUCAGGUGACCUAUCAAUAAACAUGAUUUCCUUAGUUUUUCCCUUUAACAUGCCCUAAACUUCCUCUCCUUUUAUACAGAAUUGCACUCUGAGACCAAAGGAAAACCCCCAAAUCGAAGCUAUGGCUCCCAACUCACCAAAUAGAUCCUCGCGACCAGCUAGAAUUUUUGAGGCACCCACCACCCGCUGGGCGGAGGAACGAGGGGGAAGAACCGGUCGUCGGCCCAACCGUGCAGAUCUGGCCGAAAGGUCAUGCUUGCGGAGAGCGGAUGGCUGGCCCUGCCCUAGGGCCCUCGCUGGCCUCCGUGACGCCAGGCUCUGCCGCAUAUGGGUGGGGGUUGACUGCGAGCGGUGAGGGGCGGCUGCGGCGACCUCGUGGAUGGGCAUUGCGGCUGGCUGUGGAAGGGCAUCAUAGUUUAGGGGUGGCGUCGAGGCCGAGACCGAUGGAAGAGCCGAUCUCAGAUGGGUCACGGGGUGGCGGUAUCAAGGACGGGGGCGAGGUACUGGGCCACGCGAGGUGGUGGCGUGGAGGGAGGGGAUCAAUCGUGGGCUAGGGGGCAGCGGGUUUCCGAGGGAGCUAGGGGGGGGGGGCACAAGGAGGACAUGAGUGGGGGCAUGGUUGUGCAUGUGGUCUACACUAUUGACUUAAUAGAUAGUAGAGAUAUGCAAUAACCGUAUAUACAAAGAAGUUCCACUAUUAAUUGGAAUUGACAAACUGUAUAAUGAUUAUUCAAUAUUAAAGAAAGAGAUGAUGUUAUACCUUAUGAGAUUAUUCAUCAAUAUUAAAGAAAGGACUUACUAGUCCCGGUGCUUUGCUUCUGCAGUUUGAACCUGGAAGCAAA